Molecule: ribosomal RNA, 492 nt
Filed under: uncultured bacterium
Lineage: Bacteria
Description: partial 16S ribosomal RNA
Rfam family: Bacterial small subunit ribosomal RNA
Source: RNAcentral
AGUGAACGCUGGCGGUAGGCCUAACACAUGCAAGUCGAACGGCAGCACAGUAAGAGCUUGCUCUUACGGGUGGCGAGUGGCGGACGGGUGAGGAAUACAUCGGAAUCUACUUUUUCGUGGGGGAUAACGUAGGGAAACUUACGCUAAUAACGCAUACGACCUACGGGUGAAAGCAGGGGAUCUUCGGACCUUGCGCGAUUGAAUGAGCCGAUGUCGGAUUAGCUAGUUGGCGGGGUAAAGGCCCACCAAGGCGACGAUCCGUAGCUGGUCUGAGAGGAUGAUCAGCCACACUGGAACUGAGACACGGUCCAGACUCCUACGGGAGGCAGCAGUGGGGAAUAUUGGACAAUGGGCGCAAGCCUGUUCCAGCCAUACCGCGUGGGUGAAGAAGGCCUUCGGGUUGUAAAGCCCUUUUGUUGGGAAAGAAAAGCAGCAGGUUAAUACCCCGCUGUUCUGACGGUACCCAAAGAAUAAGCACCGGCUAACUUCGUG